UACGUAGGGUGCGAGCGUUGUCCGGAAUUAUUGGGCGUAAAGGGCUCGUAGGCGGUUUGUCGCGUCGGGAGUGAAAUCCACUGGCUUAACUGGUGGCUUGCUUUCGAUACGGGCAGACUGGAGGUAUGCAGGGGAGAACGGAAUUCCUGGUGUAGCGGUGAAAUGCGCAGAUAUCAGGAGGAACACCGGUGGCGAAGGCGGUUCUCUGGGCCGAUACUGACGUGAGGAGCGAAAGUGUGGGGAGCGAACAGG
Molecule: ribosomal RNA, 252 nt
Filed under: uncultured bacterium
Lineage: Bacteria
Description: partial 16S ribosomal RNA
Rfam family: Bacterial small subunit ribosomal RNA
Source: RNAcentral